GACGAACGCUGGCGGCGUGCUUAACACAUGCAAGUCGAACGGAAAGGCCCUGCUUUUGUGGGGUGCUCGAGUGGCGAACGGGUGAGUAACACGUGAGUAACCUGCCCUUGACUUUGGGAUAACUUCAGGAAACUGGGGCUAAUACCGGAUAGGAGCUCCUGCUGCAUGGUGGGGGUUGGAAAGUUUCGGCGGUUGGGGAUGGACGCGCGGCUUAUCAGCUUGUUGGUGGGGUAGUGGCUUACCAAGGCUUUGACGGGUAGCCGGCCUGAGAGGGUGACCGGCCACAUUGGGACAGAGAUACGGCCGAGACCACUACGGGGGAGAGCAGUGGAGAAUUUUGCAAAAUGGGCGGAAGCCUGGUGCAGCAACGCCGCGUGCGGGAUGACGGCCUUCGGGUUGUAAACCGUUUUCGCCUGUGACGGAGCGUGAGUGACGGUAAUGGGUAAAGAAGCACCGGCUAACUACGU
This 467-nucleotide ribosomal RNA is filed under the name uncultured bacterium. RNAcentral's name for it is "partial 16S ribosomal RNA". It matches the Rfam family "Bacterial small subunit ribosomal RNA", at positions 28 to 506 of the family's 1533-position model. The record is from RNAcentral.